GAGCAUUGAUGAAUACUGCUUCAACUGUGAUGGAUGGGUCUAUCAUCAUUAUCUAGUGUUCCAUAUGAAAAGUGAUGCUUCUAAGCUC
Molecule: small nucleolar RNA, 88 nt
Filed under: Lupinus angustifolius (narrow-leaved blue lupine)
Lineage: Eukaryota; Viridiplantae; Streptophyta; Magnoliopsida; Fabales; Fabaceae
Description: small nucleolar RNA snoR114
Rfam family: small nucleolar RNA snoR114
Source: Rfam by way of RNAcentral